CCAGCCUGGGUGACAGAGUGAGACCCUUUCUCAAUUUUUUAAAAAAGGGGAGGAUGGGCUUUGGUGAUCGUGACAUCUGCUCCACGGCUUGCACCUUAUUUAGGGCAAGCACCUGCCUCAGUUUCCCUGAUAGUAAAAAUGGGGAUCCACACCUCUAACUGAAAAGUCACUGAGGACUCAGUCUGACGAACGUGAGCCCCCACACGAGGGUGCCUAGUUCCCACGAGAGAGACAGACCUGGGUCCCCAAGGUGGGGUCAGGGGCUGAGGGCUCAGCCUCUAUAUGUGCUGACUCUGAGGCCAGACUG
Molecule: long non-coding RNA, 307 nt
Filed under: Homo sapiens (human)
Lineage: Eukaryota; Metazoa; Chordata; Mammalia; Primates; Hominidae
Description: non-protein coding lnc-KCNC3-2:1
Source: RNAcentral